This 885-nucleotide ribosomal RNA is filed under the name Triticum aestivum (bread wheat). RNAcentral describes it as "partial small subunit ribosomal RNA". The stretch from base 139 to 277 matches the Rfam family "Small nucleolar RNA Z247". Lineage: Eukaryota; Viridiplantae; Streptophyta; Magnoliopsida; Poales; Poaceae. The record is from RNAcentral.
AUGUUUUCCUCUCAAUCUCUGAGUCGUGUUAACAACAUUCGCACUGCUUUGAUCAAUGCAUAGAAGGGCAACCAAUCUGUUGCCGCGUAUUAUGCCUCUAUGCGCGGCCUGGCCGAUGAACUCGCCGCGGCCGGCAAGCCCAUCCAGGAUGAUGAACUGAUCUCCUACCUACUGCACGGGCUGGACAUGGACUACCAGCCCCUCGUCUCUGCCCUCGACGCCCGCGUCACGCCGGUCUCUCUCGAUGAGCUGUACGCCAUGCUGAGCAACUUUGAUCAGCGUGUUGCGCAGUUCCAUAGCACGGGCAGCGGCUUCAAGUCUUCGGCAAACGCGGCCACCCGCGGGCGCGGCGGGUACUCAUCCCAUCACCGUGGUCCUCCUCGACACAAGGGCAAGCAAGGUGGUGGCAGCUGCAGUAACUCCGUGUUGGGGAACGUAGUAAUUUCAAAAAAAUUCCUACGCACACGCAAGAUCAUGAUGAUGCAUAGCAACGAGAGGGGAGAGUGUUGUCCACGUACCCUUGUAGACCGAAAGCGGAAGCGUUAUAACAACGCGGUUGAUGUAGUCGUACGUCUUCACGGCCCGACCGAUCAAGCACCGAAACUACGGCACCUCCGAGUUUUAGCACACGUUCAGCUCGAUGACGAUCCCCGGACUCCGAUCCAGCAAAGUGUCGGGGAAGAGUUCCGUCAGCACGACGGCAUGGUGAUGAUCUUGAUGUUCUACCGUCGCAGGGCUUCGCCUAAGCACCGCUACAAUAAUAUCGAGGAUUAUGGUGGAGGGGGGCACCGCAAACGGCUAAGAGAUCUCAAGGAUCAAUUGUUGUGUCUAGAGGUGCCCCCUGCCCCCGUAUAUAAAAGAGCAAGGGGGGGCGGCCGGCCAUGA